GACGAACGCUGGCGGCGCGCCUAACACAUGCAAGUCGAACGGAGUCAAGAGGAGCUUGCUUUUCUUGACUUAGUGGCGAACGGGUGAGUAACGCGUGAGUAACCUGCCCUGGAGUGGGGGACGACAGUUGGAAACGACUGCUAAUACCGCAUAAGCCCACGGAUCCGCAUGGAUCUGCGGGAAAAGGAUUUAUUCGCUUCAGGAUGGACUCGCGUCCAAUUAGCUAGUUGGUGAGGUAACGGCCCACCAAGGCGACGAUUGGUAGCCGGACUGAGAGGUUGAACGGCCACAUUGGGACUGAGACACGGCCCAGACUCCUACGGGAGGCAGCAGUGGGGGAUAUUGCACAAUGGGGGAAACCCUGAUGCAGCGACGCCGCGUGGAGGAAGAAGGUUUUCGGAUUGUAAACUCCUGUCGUUAGGGACGAUAAUGACGGUACCUAACAAGAAAGCACCGGCUAACUACGUG
Molecule: ribosomal RNA, 468 nt
Filed under: uncultured bacterium
Lineage: Bacteria
Description: partial 16S ribosomal RNA
Rfam family: Bacterial small subunit ribosomal RNA
Source: RNAcentral